Molecule: long non-coding RNA, 1119 nt
Organism: Nothoprocta perdicaria
Lineage: Eukaryota; Metazoa; Chordata; Aves; Tinamiformes; Tinamidae
Exons: 3
Source: RefSeq, a predicted model, not a curated record
UGCCAGCAUUUGUGAGCACUUUGCCUGAAGGAGGGCGAGGCAGAGCCAUGACCUUGCCCUUGCUCCAGGAAUCCAGCCAGCAUCACUGCUGGAUCCGAUCGGACUGCAGGCACGCAGCACAGGGGUUGUCCUGCCCAUAGCAAAGGCACUUAGCCCUUUCCUGAAAACGGAUAUGGUGUUUCCUGAGCCUUUAGUGAGCUGCAGCCCCAUGGAUCUGCAGARCACGCAGGAAAAGGACAAGGCUACUUGAUGAGUCUCUGAGCAUUUUACACACUGAUGAAGUGCAGCAAACAAGCGCGGGACCCUGCAAAUUCRCGAUGCUGCUUCCAAGAAGCCUGUUGCUUUUGAAUUUACUUUUUGCAUGCUUUGUUGAUAUUAAUUAACGCUAAAAGAGAAAAGGGCCUUUUAUUUUUUUUUUUUUUCUGGAGCUCUUCCUGGCGUGAGAAUUGCCCGAGAGUGCAUUUGGACUCUGCCACUCCCAAACACAGAGCAGACUUCUGAUGGGAGCAACUCCCAUCRGGACUUGUUUGCCUUGGCCUGUGAGUUUGUCUGCUUGCUUCUCCUCUGCUGGUUUUCUCCCUGUCAUUUAUGAUAGAAGCCAGUGUCACCAAGCCGUUGCCGCCGCUCUCUGUCCUUUCCGUGAGAAUCACUUCCUCCRGGGCAGAGGGAGCAGCUUUCAAGGUCUCAGCUUUAUCUUUGCGCUGCUUGUGCAGAGAGAUAAAGCAUGCUGGCAAGAGCAAAACAAGCCGUGUGUUCAGUAGGAUGAUCCUGGGCUUCAGCUCUAGUUCUGAUGCUGGCUGUCUCACUCACACGCUUGUAAAUGCAUUUUGCUCCGAGAACAGCCCUAGUGAGAGGAACUGGAGUUCACAUACGACGAAAUUUCCCAGGCUGCAGUAUGGAAAAUCUCAUCUGACCAGGGUGGAGAUGAUGCAGAAUGAGUAAUAGGAAUAGGAGUCACCUGGAGGAUGUGAUAAGAGAAGGGUCCCUAAACGGUAGCAAAGUAAAAAGUAUCUGGCUCUUGAACUCCUGAUUCCCUGGGGCAAUGUGCCUCGCAAGAAAAUGUAGUUUUGUGUUGAAUUGAUAYAGUGACUUGAACUAGGCUGUUUUCAAAUAAAUACA